Molecule: non-coding RNA, 77 nt
Organism: Dictyocaulus viviparus (bovine lungworm)
Lineage: Eukaryota; Metazoa; Nematoda; Chromadorea; Rhabditida; Metastrongylidae
Source: the annotation of a GenBank genome assembly
UGAUCUCGGGCGGGCUCGAACCGUCGACCUUCUGUCAUUCGAUACAUUACAUUAAAAAACCAUUACACCACGAGAUC